RNAcentral lists this ribosomal RNA (250 nucleotides) under uncultured bacterium. Its description in RNAcentral is "partial 16S ribosomal RNA". It matches the Rfam family "Bacterial small subunit ribosomal RNA", at positions 57 to 305 of the family's 1533-position model. The record is from RNAcentral.
GCAAGUCGAGCGGAAACGAAAGUAGCUUGCUACUAGGCGUCGAGCGGCGGACGGGUGUGUAAUGCUUAGGAAUCUACCGAGUAGUGGGGGAUAGCCAUUGGAAACGAUGAUUCUUACCGCAUAUAACCUACGGGGGCAAGCAGGGGACCUUCGUGCCUUGCGCUAUUCGAUGAGCCUGAGUGAGAUUAGCUAGUUGGUGAGGUAAAGGCCUACCAAGGCGACGAUCUCUAGCUGGUCUGAGAGGAUGAUC